RNAcentral lists this ribosomal RNA (200 nucleotides) under uncultured bacterium. Its description in RNAcentral is "partial 16S ribosomal RNA". It matches the Rfam family "Bacterial small subunit ribosomal RNA", at positions 524 to 722 of the family's 1533-position model. The record is from RNAcentral.
UACGGAGGGAGCUAGCGUUGUUCGGAAUUACUGGGCGUAAAGCGCACGUAGGCGGCUUUUUAAGUCAGGGGUGAAAUCCCGGGGCUCAACCCCGGAACUGCCCUUGAAACUGGAGAGCUAGAAUCUUGGAGAGGCGAGUGGAAUUCCGAGUGUAGAGGUGAAAUUCGUAGAUAUUCGGGAAGAACACCGGUGGCGAAGGC